GAUGAACGCUGGCGGCGUGCCUAAUACAUGCAAGUCGAGCGAACGGACGAGAAGCUUGCUUCUCUGAUGUUAGCGGCGGACGGGUGAGUAACACGUGGAUAACCUACCUAUAAGACUGGGGUAACUUCGGGAAACCGGAGCUAAUACCGGAUGAUAUUUUGAACCGCAUGGUUCAAAAGUGAAAGACGGUCUUGCUGUCACUUAUAGAUGGAUCCGCGCUGCAUUAGCUAGUUGGUAAGGUAACGGCUUACCAAGGCAACGAUGCAUAGCCGACCUGAGAGGGUGAUCGGCCACACUGGAACUGAGACACGGUCCAGACUCCUAAGGGAGGCAGCAGUAGGGAAUCUUCCGCAAUGGGCGAAAGCCUGACGGAGCAACGCCGCGUGAGUGAUGAAGGUCUUCGGAUCGUAAAACUCUGUUAUUAGGGAAGAACAUAUGUGUAAGUAACUGUGCACAUCUUGACGGUACCUAAUCAGAAAGCCACGGCUAACUACGUG
RNAcentral lists this ribosomal RNA (497 nucleotides) under uncultured bacterium. RNAcentral describes it as "partial 16S ribosomal RNA". It matches the Rfam family "Bacterial small subunit ribosomal RNA", at positions 28 to 507 of the family's 1533-position model. The record is from RNAcentral.